CACUCCUGCGGGAGGCAGCAGUGGGGAAUUUUGGACAAUGGGCGCAAGCCUGAUCCAGCCAUGCCGCGUGCGGGAAGAAGGCCUUCGGGUUGUAAACCGCUUUUGUCAGGGAAGAAAAGGUUCUGGCUAAUACCUGGGACUCAUGACGGUACCUGAAGAAUAAGCACCGGCUAACUACGUGCCAGCAGCCGCGGUAAUACGUAGGGUGCAAGCGUUAAUCGGAAUUACUGGGCGUAAAGCGUGCGCAGGCGGUUAUGCAAGACAGAGGUGAAAUCCCCGGGCUCAACCUGGGAACUGCCUUUGUGACUGCAUGGCUAGAGUACGGUAGAGGGGGAUGGAAUUCCGCGUGUAGCAGUGAAAUGCGUAGAUAUGCGGAGGAACACCGAUGGCGAAGGCAAUCCCCUGGACCUGUACUGACGCUCAUGCACGAAAGCGUGGGGAGCAAACAGGAUUAGAAACCCGAGUAGUCCCAUGAU
Molecule: ribosomal RNA, 476 nt
Filed under: uncultured organism
Description: partial 16S ribosomal RNA
Rfam family: Bacterial small subunit ribosomal RNA
Source: RNAcentral